CAGAAUUUUGAAUUGCAACAGCAAAUCGGUGCCGACAAUCUUCAUGAAUAUCGACUUCGGUGUUUGAAUUGUUUGUUCAUCCUGCGCACUUUUGUCGAUCCUUCUCACAACUUAUUAUAGAUUAUUGGUUAUUGCUUAUGUAUUGAACCACAAUAAUAACAUUGAAAGAUGCAGAACUGAAUGAUCCAUGUUGGUAAGAACUUUGAUGUCUUUACAGAAGUUCAGAUGUGACCCUCAAAAAGUGACACACUUUCAGCCACUGAGGCGAUGAGCCAGCCACUCGAUCCACCGACUGCUCCUGAACUUCAACACCUAACUCAGAGCUGCUGGUCCUCCCAGCUCGCCUGUGGCAGCCAGGAGCAGUAAACAGUGUCUUGACUGACUACAACAACUCUCUCUAUCUGCGGCCCAAGCUCCAGAGAGGAUGGAGCGGCGGGAUGAUGAAGUUUCGGGACGAGGUGGAUGUGCCAUCCAUUACAGGAGGUGGAAAGGUGCAGAUAAAUCACCUUAUCAGCUCUACCUUCUCCCCGCUGAGCUGAGGGAGCACAGCAACAGGGAAAUCCAUCACGCUCCACAAAUGGGACAUAACUCAGCGAUCACUCCGCCUCCGCGCUCGGCUCUGAACACACCUGGCCACGGCUUUAACGUUCUAUUAUGACUGACGCGCUUUGCUUUGUCCUCCUGUGUGUGCCUCAAUUCCACUUUGAUUUUUCAUCCAUAUUAAAAGUCGCCAACUCUGUGACGCGGUGAUGCCUGUGUGUUAAACGUGGCAUUACGUGACGUGAAGUUGAAGGUUCCCAAGGACAGAUGCGCCUCAGACGUCAGCGACACAGUGAAACCCCGUCUGGAUACCACCAGCGUUCUCCUGUUCUGUGAACAUCAGAGCUUAGGUUGUCACUCCCUGAGAAACUGUUGUCUAUUGUUUUGUUGUUAGUUCUGUCUAAACAUUAUUUCUAAUCCAUUUAACUGUGAUCUUUUCUCCUCAUUUUAGAAGCAGAAGAGCCGCUUGCAUCAUCAAAUUCAAUUGAGUCUGCAGGACUCACUCGGAUGUGUGAGGUGUGCAACUACUUCCUGUCUUGUGAGUCAAGGGACUGGAUGAAGUGAGCGGUGGCGGCAGGAAGCCUGUCCCUCUUUGACUCGGCCCGAGCACAGUUGCCUCAAGAUUAAUGUCUGAUCCCCUGGAGGCCAGUGGAGGUCACACUGACCAGCCAGGUGCUCCAGGCUUUGAGCUCAAGCUGUCUGCCUCCUGAUGCUGUCAUGCUGCCUUCGUGACUCCUAGAGAUUUGAGGGGGAGGAGUAUUUUGGACUGCUCAAUACGGUACGCAUACUGUCUGAUACUAGGCUGCUGUGACAACCUUUAAAUACAAGUUAGUCUGCUGGCUGCAACUCACCAUGGAUAUUGUCUGAAACUGAGGCUUGUUAUUCCCACAGCAUUUGACAAAUAAUCUCAUUUACAUGUUGUUUUCGACACAGUUUUCUGUCUACGUUCCUAGUCUUGUGCCAUUUCUGUGCUGCAUUACGCCACCUUUUGAUUUACAAAUGAAACACUGAGCAGCUUGGUGAAGUUUGAAUUACAGCAACCGUACUUCUUCAUAUUAUGACUUUAAGAUCUGACGCCUGAUUUUUCUUUACUGUAGCAUUUGUUGCAAGAAAUGUCUCCUAAAAUAUAUCAAAUAUAUAUAGGAACUUUUUUUUAUUUUUUUUUCCUCUA
Synchiropus splendidus (mandarinfish) is the source of this 1711-nucleotide long non-coding RNA. RefSeq lists it as uncharacterized. The transcript has 4 exons. The record is from RefSeq and is a predicted model, not a curated record. NCBI's taxonomy places the organism in Eukaryota, Metazoa, Chordata, Actinopteri, Syngnathiformes, Callionymidae.